UUGAGAGUUCAAACUGAGAAAUAUGUCAGAUACUCAGCUUGGAUAUGGAUGCCAUCACAUUCAUAUUUAAGUAAUGAUUAGUCUAUGGUGUGUUUGAGGAUGAAGGAAAACCAGGCCGGACCUGGAAGCUUCAACGUUUAUGUCUGAGCCUGACCAUUGUCCCGACUCAUGAUUUAGAGUUAAGAAGUGAGUUGAGAAAGAUUCUCCAAAAAGAAAAAAAAAAUAAACUUUUAAGGAUACAUAAAAUUUU
Molecule: long non-coding RNA, 250 nt
Filed under: Brassica napus (rape)
Lineage: Eukaryota; Viridiplantae; Streptophyta; Magnoliopsida; Brassicales; Brassicaceae
Description: long non-coding RNA (BNAP_LNC017512)
Source: RNAcentral